Molecule: non-coding RNA, 135 nt
Organism: Triticum aestivum (bread wheat)
Lineage: Eukaryota; Viridiplantae; Streptophyta; Magnoliopsida; Poales; Poaceae
Source: Rfam
CUGCUACUCCCUCCGUCCGAAAAUACUUGUCAUCAAAAUAGACAAAAAGGGAUGUAUCUAGAAGUAAAAUACAUCUAAAUACAUCCCUUUUUAUUCGUUUUGAUGAGAAGUAUUUUUGGACGGAGGGAGUACUAU